GUGCGAAUUGCGGACACAUUGAGCACUAAAAUUUCGAACGCACAUUGCGCCAUCGGGUUCAUUCCCCUUGGCACGUCUGGCUGAGAGUCGAAAUCUAAAAUAUACUCUUUUACGCAUACACACAUACACUGUAUAUGUGUUGCACAUCGGCUCAUAUAACAAUACCUAUAGCUGUAGCGAGUGUUUUGUUAAUAACAGCGGCUAUAGAUGGCUAGUUUGUUAUAGGAGACGAUCUGCUAGUAGUGUGAUACAUAUAAGCGAGUGUGUGUGUGUGUGUAUGCGUGCACAAAAAGAGUGAUGUCGAUAGACUAUUUUUACUCAGUAUAAAUGGGCAAGAUUAUUUAUACUGCUGUAAACAAUACUCUAUUCAGUUUUGAAAACAGUGUGCCGACUUUGUCGCGCGCACGCGCAUAAGUAAGAGUUCGAUUAAACAGGUUAGUACAACCAGCAAGCAACACAACCACUGCCUUGGUAAAUUGCUUGAAAGCGAAUCUCUAGCAUACAAAGAGGCGAUAUAUGCAAGGGUUAGCAAGCGCUUUCAUGCUAGUAAAGCUUUUUACUGUGGCCGCAAGUUAGUGGUGUUUGUUUGUGUGUGUGUGUGUGUGCUAAGCUAGUGUUCAACAAUGACCUCAGCUCAGUCGUGAUUACCCGCUGAAUUUAAGCAUAUAACUAAGCGGAGGAAAAGAAACUAACGAGGAUUCCCUUAGUAACGGCGAGUGAACAGGGAAAAGCCCAUCGCUGAAUCCCAUAAUCAUUGAUUAUCGGGAACUGUAGCGUAUAGGUGUAACUAUUCGGUGGUUUUUGCUUACUCAAAGUUCCCUUGAGUGGGGCUAUAGUCCAUAGAGGGUGCUAGGCCUGUACGGGUAGCAAAAUUACCGAUAUCGGUUACUCCUUGGAGUCGAGUUGCCUGGGAACGCAGCUCAAAGUAGGUGGUAAACCUCAUCUAAGGCUAAAUAUGACUACGAGACCGAUAGCGA
This 977-nucleotide ribosomal RNA is filed under the name Aspiculuris tianjinensis. RNAcentral's name for it is "eukaryotic LSU rRNA". The stretch from base 625 to 977 matches the Rfam family "Eukaryotic large subunit ribosomal RNA", at positions 1 to 343 of the family's 3401-position model. Lineage: Eukaryota; Metazoa; Nematoda; Chromadorea; Rhabditida; Heteroxynematidae. The record is from RNAcentral.